GUUUUUUUAAGUAAGCUCUAUGCCCAACAUGGGGCUUGAACUCAUGACCCUGAGAUCAGGAGUCACAUGCUCUACCAUCUGAGACAGC
Panthera pardus (leopard) is the source of this 88-nucleotide small nucleolar RNA. Lineage: Eukaryota; Metazoa; Chordata; Mammalia; Carnivora; Felidae. The record is from Ensembl.